Molecule: ribosomal RNA, 509 nt
Filed under: uncultured bacterium
Lineage: Bacteria
Description: bacterial SSU rRNA
Rfam family: Bacterial small subunit ribosomal RNA
Source: RNAcentral
AGAGUUUGAUCCUGGCUCAGGACGAACGCUGGCGGCGUGCUUAACACAUGCAAGUCAUGGGGGCUCAGCAAUGGGCAACCGGCGAACGGGUGCGUAACACGUGAGCAACCUACCGAGAUGUGGGGGAUAGCCGGCCCAACGGCCGGGUAAUACCGCAUACGAUCAUUUGGGGGAGUCCCCGAAUGAGGAAACUCGUAAGAGGCAUUUUGAGGGGCUCGCGGCCUAUCAGCUAGUUGGCGGGGUAAUGGCCCACCAAGGCGACGACGGGUAGCUGGUCUGAGAGGAUGGCCAGCCACAUUGGGACUGAGAAACGGCCCAGACUCCUACGGGAGGCAGCAGUGGGGAAUCUUGCGCAAUGGUCGAGAGACUGACGCAGCGACGCCGCGUGUGGGAGGAAGCCCUUCGGGGUGUAAACCACUGUUGCCCGGGACGAAUAAGCGAUUUCGAUCGCUCUGACGGUACCGGGUGAGGAAGCACCGGCUAACUCCGUGCCAGCCGCCGCGGUAUAC